GACGAACGCUGGCGGCGUGCCUAAUACAUGCAAGUCGAGCGAAGGGACGAGAUGCUUGUUGCUCUGAGGUUAGCGGCGGACGGGUGAGUAACAAGUGGAUAAUCUACCUAUCAGACUGGGAGAACAUCGGGAAAACAGAGCUAAUACCGGGUAAUAUUUUGAACCGCACGGUUGAAGAGUGAAAGAAGGUCUUGCUGUCACUUGGAGAUGGACCCGCGGUGCAUUAGCUAGUUGGUAAGGUAACGGCCUACCAAGGCAGCGAUGACUAGCCGACCUGCGAGGGUGGUCGGCCACCCUGGAACGGAUACGCGGCCCCGACUCCUACGGCGGGAGGCAGUAGUGAAUCUUACGCAAUGAUCGAAGUCCUGCUGGUGCAGCGUCGCGUGGUGGAGGAUGGUCUCCGGCUCGUUAUACUCUUUUUUUGCGAAUGAAGCUAGGUGGAAUUGACUGUGCACGUCUUGACGGUACCUAAUCAGAAAGCCACGGCUAACUACGUG
RNAcentral lists this ribosomal RNA (497 nucleotides) under uncultured bacterium. RNAcentral's name for it is "partial 16S ribosomal RNA". It matches the Rfam family "Bacterial small subunit ribosomal RNA", at positions 28 to 507 of the family's 1533-position model. The record is from RNAcentral.